CGAAUGCUGACAUAAGUAACGAUAAAGCGGGUGAAAAGCCCGCUCGCCGGAAGACCAAGGGUUCCUGUCCAACGUUAAUCGGGGCAGGGUGAGUCGACCCCUAAGGCGAGGCCGAAAGGCGUAGUCGAUGGGAAACAGGUUAAUAUUCCUGUACUUGGUGUUACUGCGAAGGGGGGACGGAGAAGGCUAUGUUGGCCGGGCGACGGUUGUCCCGGUUUAAGCGUGUAGGCUGGUUUUCCAGGCAAAUCCGGAAAAUCAAGGCUGAGGCGUGAUGACGAGGCACUACGGUGCUGAAGCAACAAAUGCCCUGCUUCCAGGAAAAGCCUCUAAGCAUCAGGUAACAUCAAAUCGUACCCCAAACCGACACAGGUGGUCAGGUAGAGAAUACCAAGGCGCUUGAGAGAACUCGGGUGAAGGAACUAGGCAAAAUGGUGCCGUAACUUCGGGAGAAGGCACGCUGAUAUGUAGGUGAAGUCCCUCGCGGAUGGAGCUGAAAUCAGUCGAAGAUACCAGCUGGCUGCAACUGUUUAUUAAAAACACAGCACUGUGCAAACACGAAAGUGGACGUAUACGGUGUGACGCCUGCCCGGUGCCGGAAGGUUAAUUGAUGGGGUCAGCGCAAGCGAAGCUCUUGAUCGAAGCCCCGGUAAACGGCGGCCGUAACUAUAACGGUCCUAAGGUAGCGAAAUUCCUUGUCGGGUAAGUUCCGACCUGCACGAAUGGCGUAAUGAUGGCCAGGCUGUCUCCACCCGAGACUCAGUGAAAUUGAACUCGCUGUGAAGAUGCAGUGUACCCGCGGCAAGACGGAAAGACCCCGUGAACCUUUACUAUAGCUUGACACUGAACAUUGAGCCUUGAUGUGUAGGAUAGGUGGGAGGCUUUGAAGUGUGGACGCCAGUCUGCAUGGAGCCGACCUUGAAAUACCACCCUUUAAUGUUUGAUGUUCUAACGUGGACCCGUGAUCCGGGUUGCGGACAGUGUCUGGUGGGUAGUUUGACUGGGGCGGUCUCCUCCUAAAGAGUAACGGAGGAGCACGAAGGUUGGCUAAUCCUGGUCGGACAUCAGGAGGUUAGUGCAAUGGCAUAAGCCAGCUUGACUGCGAGCGUGACGGCGCGAGCAGGUGCGAAAGCAGGUCAUAGUGAUCCGGUGGUUCUGAAUGGAAGGGCCAUCGCUCAACGGAUAAAAGGUACUCCGGGGAUAACAGGCUGAUACCGCCCAAGAGUUCAUAUCGACGGCGGUGUUUGGCACCUCGAUGUCGGCUCAUCACAUCCUGGGGCUGAAGUAGGUCCCAAGGGUAUGGCUGUUCGCCAUUUAAAGUGGUACGCGAGCUGGGUUUAGAACGUCGUGAGACAGUUCGGUCCCUAUCUGCCGUGGGCGCUGGAGAACUGAGGGGGGCUGCUCCUAGUACGAGAGGACCGGAGUGGACGCAUCACUGGUGUUCGGGUUGUCAUGCCAAUGGCACUGCCCGGUAGCUAAAUGCGGAAGAGAUAAGUGCUGAAAGCAUCUAAGCACGAAACUUGCCCCGAGAUGAGUUCUCCCUGACCCUUUAAGGGUC
Molecule: ribosomal RNA, 1555 nt
Filed under: Escherichia coli
Lineage: Bacteria; Pseudomonadati; Pseudomonadota; Gammaproteobacteria; Enterobacterales; Enterobacteriaceae
Description: partial 23S ribosomal RNA
Rfam family: Bacterial large subunit ribosomal RNA
Source: RNAcentral